RNAcentral lists this small nucleolar RNA (131 nucleotides) under Sorex araneus (European shrew). RNAcentral's name for it is "Small nucleolar RNA SNORA22 (ENSSARG00000015370.1)". The record is from RNAcentral. Lineage: Eukaryota; Metazoa; Chordata; Mammalia; Eulipotyphla; Soricidae.
UUACACAGUGAACACUGCAGUGUGCUUUGUCGUUCCCUUGGUCUUAACACUGUGCCAGAGCAAUGUCUGUUCCACAGCUCUGCGUUGAAAGGAUGGUCCUUUCAAAGUGUAUUCGAGAAGUCAGUUCUUUG